UCAGGCCUAACACAUGCAAGUCGAGGGGUAGAAGGAGCUUGCUCCUUUGAGACCGGCGCACGGGUGCGUAACGCGUAUGCAAUCUACCUUUUACAGAGGGAUAGCCCAGAGAAAUUUGGAUUAAUACCUCAUAGUAUAUAACCUUCGCAUGUUGGUUAUAUUAAAGUUCCAACGGUAAAAGAUGAGCAUGCGUCCUAUUAGCUAGUUGGUGUGGUAACGGCACACCAAGGCAACGAUAGGUAGGGGUCCUGAGAGGGAGAUCCCCCACACUGGUACUGAGACACGGACCAGACUCCUACGGGAGGCAGCAGUGAGGAAUAUUGGACAAUGGGCGCAAGCCUGAUCCAGGCAUGCCGCGUGCAGGAAGACGGUCCUAUGGAUUUA
This 384-nucleotide ribosomal RNA is filed under the name uncultured bacterium. Its description in RNAcentral is "bacterial SSU rRNA". It matches the Rfam family "Bacterial small subunit ribosomal RNA", at positions 42 to 427 of the family's 1533-position model. The record is from RNAcentral.